ACACGACUACAUUAAGAUACCCGGGUAGUCCAGGGUGUAAACGCUGCGGGCUUGGUGUUGGGGGUCCUUUGAGGGCGCCCAGUGCCGGAGAGAAGUUGUUAAGCCUGCUGCUUGGGGAGUACGUCCGCAAGGAUGAAACUUAAAGGAAUUGGCGGGGGAGCACCGCAACGGGAGGAGCGUGCGGUUCAAUUGGAUUCAACGCCGGACAACUCACCAGGAGCGACGGUUACAUGAAGGCCAGGCUGAUGACCUUGCCUGAUUUUCCG
RNAcentral lists this ribosomal RNA (266 nucleotides) under uncultured archaeon. Its description in RNAcentral is "partial 16S ribosomal RNA". It matches the Rfam family "Archaeal small subunit ribosomal RNA", at positions 717 to 982 of the family's 1478-position model. The record is from RNAcentral.